ACCCCGCUGUUUUUUUUUAUUUCUUCCCAUUAGUCUGCCUUUUCAUUCCAAAGAGCUUUGAGAAUAAAGAGAGGACAGGGAAAGCGUUUAGAGACUUUGUAAAAUUCUACCAGACUGUAAGCCCUGUGAGGGUAGGGAAAUUAUCUUUUAUCACAUUACCUCCAUAGCCUAGCACAACAUAACUGUUUAUUUGUUGGAUCACACAAACACACACACACACUCUCUCUCUCUCACCCCCCCCCCCAGUGUGUGCUUUAUUCUUAGAAGAGUCCCACAGAACCAUAUGCCACAUAAGUGACUUCUGCAUCAGGUAGGGGACUGGACCAGAUCAGUAAUGUUAUGCUGAAAAACUAGUGUAAUUAUAUACUUUGGAUCCCAAACAUGAGAGAAAUGGAGAAGGCAAGGGAGGAUAAAAGCAUUAAAUUCCAACUGUCAUUCUGAACAUUGAGAUAAGACUCAGAGUAAUAAAAAAAUCUUCCUUAAAGAUCCACAGACAGGUAGUAAAGAAAUAGUGGGCUGCAUGACCUCUAAGGUCCCUGCUAAAUUUAGUAUUAUUUGAUUUUCAUUUAUUGAUCCUAAACAUCAAGUUAAGAGCCUAUACUUCAAGACACUGUUUAGAUCUAGAGUUACUAAACAUUAUUCUGGGCACUGAGGAGUCAGCUGUAAAAAAAGAGAGAAAUUCUUAACUUCAUGGUGUUUACAUUCUAAUGGAAGGUGGGUGUGGGAGGCAAAUGAGAUUUUAGUGUCCCAAAAAAGAUAGCAAGAGGCUAGGAAGUGGCAAAAUUAAUGGGACAGCAUUCCAAUGGUUAUAUCUUCAAGGGCUGGUUAGGUAUACUAUCAAUCAUUUAUUCUUUUUAAAAACGUUCAAAAAAUCUAUGAAGAAGCAUAUGUCAAUUUUAUCACCUAAUUUUCUUUCCCGCCUCUAGCGCUCUCAAGUCUAUUGCAAACUCUUCUAAGUCUUCAUUAGCUUUUCCCUCUCAAUUCCUUUAAUAAACCAAAAUAACUGCUUUCCA
Molecule: long non-coding RNA, 1013 nt
Filed under: Sus scrofa (pig)
Lineage: Eukaryota; Metazoa; Chordata; Mammalia; Artiodactyla; Suidae
Description: lncRNA (ENSSSCG00040016622.1)
Source: RNAcentral